Molecule: long non-coding RNA, 231 nt
Filed under: Mustela putorius furo (domestic ferret)
Lineage: Eukaryota; Metazoa; Chordata; Mammalia; Carnivora; Mustelidae
Description: lncRNA (ENSMPUG00000026126.1)
Source: RNAcentral
ACUAGCUCAACUGAAAAAACAAACAAACAAACAACAUCAACAACACGGAUGGCAAGCGGACAGCGGAGACAGAAUGCAGGACAAGGAAAGAGCUAAAUGGAAAGAACUGAAGAGUGGGGUUCUGCAGUGACCCAUUAGGGGACUUAGUGGAACCAGGACGGUGCCAAGACCACAGCUGAAGACCAGACCCAUCUGCUCCCUCCAUGUCCACAGCUGAAGAUAGACCCGUCU